UACGAAGGGGGCUAGCGUUGCUCGGAAUUACUGGGCGUAAAGGGCGCGUAGGCGGUUCGAUAAGUCAGCUGUGAAAACCAUGGGCUUAACUCAUGGCCUGCAGUUGAGACUGUCGGGCUGGAGUGUGGGAGAGGAGAGUGGAAUUCCUGGUGUAGCGGUGAAAUGCGUAGAUAUCAGGAGGAACACCGGUGGCGAAGGCGGCUCUCUGGACCACAACUGACGCUGAGGCGCGAAAGCUAGGGGAGCAAACAGG
This 253-nucleotide ribosomal RNA is filed under the name uncultured bacterium. Its description in RNAcentral is "partial 16S ribosomal RNA". It matches the Rfam family "Bacterial small subunit ribosomal RNA", at positions 524 to 776 of the family's 1533-position model. The record is from RNAcentral.